UGUCAGUUAUCAGAGUGAAGAUGCCUUCCUAGAGACAAGUUGCUCUUCAAUAGGACUCCUGGACUCUGUGGAAGCUUCCUUUCUUUUACAACCAACUCUCAGAGGGGUUAUUAGAGAAGGGAGAAGGAGGGUGAGGAAAAUGGAGAAGAGAGAGGCAGAGGCAAGAGGAGGAGGGAGAAAGGUGUGCUUGAUCUGGGACACAUAGGAUGUAUUUAAAUAGAAGAUGCAAAGAAACCACUUCCGAGGAUAAUGCUGCAUGCCUCAGAUAUAACCACUGUGAUCAUCAUCAACAGCAGAGAUAGACAUCUCCCAGACUUCUGUUUUGAAAUGGACGGAUACACAAAUCUUUUAAAUAAAGAAAUAAACUUUCUUGUA
This is a non-coding RNA of Pantherophis guttatus, 375 nucleotides long. Lineage: Eukaryota; Metazoa; Chordata; Lepidosauria; Squamata; Colubridae. The record is from RefSeq and is a predicted model, not a curated record.